UGAGGAAUCUUGCGCAAUGGGGGAAACCCUGACGCAGCAAUGCCGCGUGAGUGAAGAAGGCCUUCGGGUCGUAAAGCUCUGUCAGGCGGGAAGAAUAGCUUGAGGGUGAAUAACCUUCAGGUGUGACGGUACCGCCGAAGGAAGCACCGGCUAACUCCGUGCCAGCAGCCGCGGUAAGACGGAGGGUGCAAGCGUUAUUCGGAUUCAUUGGGCGUAAAGAGCGUGUAGGCGGCCGGGCAAGUCAGAGGUGAAAGCCCAGGGCUCAACCCUGGAAGUGCCUUUGAAACUGCUUGGCUUGAGUUCGGGAGAGGGAAGUGGAAUUCCUGGUGUAGAGGUGAAAUUCGUAGAUAUCAGGAGGAACACCGGUGGCGAAGGCGACUUCCUGGACCGAAACUGACGCUGAGACGCGAAAGCGUGGGGAGCAAACAGG
This 430-nucleotide ribosomal RNA is filed under the name uncultured Desulfobacca sp. RNAcentral's name for it is "bacterial SSU rRNA". It matches the Rfam family "Bacterial small subunit ribosomal RNA", at positions 355 to 776 of the family's 1533-position model. Lineage: Bacteria; Pseudomonadati; Thermodesulfobacteriota; Desulfobaccia; Desulfobaccales; Desulfobaccaceae. The record is from RNAcentral.